Molecule: ribosomal RNA, 374 nt
Filed under: uncultured eukaryote
Lineage: Eukaryota
Description: partial 18S ribosomal RNA
Rfam family: Eukaryotic small subunit ribosomal RNA
Source: RNAcentral
CAAUAGCGUAUAUUUAAGUUGUUGCAGUUAAAAAGCUCGUAGUUGGAUUUCGGUUGAGAGCGGCCGGUCCGCUGUUUGGUGUGCACUGGCUGGUUUCAACUUCCUGUAGAGGACGCGCUUUGGGCUUAACGGUCUGAACGUGGAGUCUACGUGGUUACUUUGAAAAAAUUAGAGUGUUCAAAGCGGGCUUACGCUUGAAUAUUUCAGCAUGGAAUAACACUAUAGGACUCCUGUCCUAUUUCGUUGGUCUCGGGACGGGAGCAAUGAUUAAGAGGAACAGUUGGGGCAUUCGUAUUUCAUUGUCAGAGGUGAAAUUCUUGGAUUUAUGAAAGACGAACUUCUGCGAAAGCAUUUGCCAAGGAUGUUUUCAUUAA